Molecule: ribosomal RNA, 253 nt
Filed under: uncultured bacterium
Lineage: Bacteria
Description: partial 16S ribosomal RNA
Rfam family: Bacterial small subunit ribosomal RNA
Source: RNAcentral
UACGAAGGGGGCUAGCGUUGCUCGGAAUCACUGGGCGUAAAGCGCACGUAGGCGGAUCUUUAAGUCAGGGGUGAAAUCCUGGAGCUCAACUCCAGAACUGCCUUUGAUACUGGGGAUCUCGAGUCCGGGAGAGGUGAGUGGAAUUCCGAGUGUAGAGGUGAAAUUCGUAGAUAUUCGGAGGAACACCAGAAGCGAAGGCGGCUCACUGGCCCGAUACUGACGCUGAGGCGCGAAAGCGUGGGGAGCAAACAGG